Molecule: ribosomal RNA, 332 nt
Filed under: uncultured bacterium
Lineage: Bacteria
Description: bacterial SSU rRNA
Rfam family: Bacterial small subunit ribosomal RNA
Source: RNAcentral
CGUGUAGGCGGCUUGUUAAGUCUGAUGUGAAAGCCCCGGGCUCAACCUGGGAAGUGCAUUGGAAACUGGCAGACUUGAAUACGGGAGAGGGUAGUGGAAUUCCUAGUGUAGGAGUGAAAUCCGUAGAUAUUAGGAGGAACACCGGUGGCGAAGGCGGCUGCCUGGACCGAUAUUGACGCUGAGACGCGAAAGCGUGGGGAGCAAACAGGAUUAGAUACCCUGGUAGUCCACGCCGUAAACGAUGAGUACUAGGUGUUGCGGGUAUUGACCCCUGCAGUGCCGCAGCUAACGCAUUAAGUACUCCGCCUGGGAAGUACGGCCGCAAGGCUAAA